This is a non-coding RNA of Cervus elaphus (red deer), 73 nucleotides long. The record is from the annotation of a RefSeq genome assembly. Lineage: Eukaryota; Metazoa; Chordata; Mammalia; Artiodactyla; Cervidae.
UCCCUGGUGGUCCAGUGGCUAAGAUUUCAUGCUUCCAAUGCAGGAAGCCCAGGUUCAAUCCCUGGUCAGGGAA